UACGUAGGGUGCAAGCGUUAAUCGGAAUUACUGGGCGUAAAGCGUGCGCAGGCGGCUUUGCAAGACAGAUGUGAAAUCCCCGGGCUCAACCUGGGAACUGCAUUUGUGACUGCAAGGCUAGAGUACGGUAGAGGGGGAUGGAAUUUCGCGUGUAGCAGUGAAAUGCGUAGAUAUGCGGAGGAACACCGAUGGCGAAGGCAAUCCCCUGGACCUGUACUGACGCUCAUGCACGAAAGCGUGGGGAGCAAACAGG
RNAcentral lists this ribosomal RNA (253 nucleotides) under uncultured bacterium. RNAcentral's name for it is "partial 16S ribosomal RNA". It matches the Rfam family "Bacterial small subunit ribosomal RNA", at positions 524 to 776 of the family's 1533-position model. The record is from RNAcentral.